UACAGAGGGUGCGAGCGUUAAUCGGAAUUACUGGGCGUAAAGCGCGCGUAGGCGGUUUUGUAAGUCGGGUGUGAAAUCCCCAAGCUUAACUUGGGAACUGCAUUCGAGACUGCAUAGCUAGAGUAUGGGAGAGAGAAGUGGAAUUUCCGGUGUAGCGGUGAAAUGCGUAGAUAUCGGAAGGAACAUCAGUGGCGAAAGCGACUUCUUGGACCAAUACUGACGCUCAAGUGCGAAAGCGUGGGGAGCAAACAGG
This 253-nucleotide ribosomal RNA is filed under the name uncultured bacterium. RNAcentral's name for it is "partial 16S ribosomal RNA". It matches the Rfam family "Bacterial small subunit ribosomal RNA", at positions 524 to 776 of the family's 1533-position model. The record is from RNAcentral.